RNAcentral lists this ribosomal RNA (912 nucleotides) under uncultured bacterium. RNAcentral describes it as "bacterial SSU rRNA". It matches the Rfam family "Bacterial small subunit ribosomal RNA", at positions 57 to 946 of the family's 1533-position model. The record is from RNAcentral.
GCAGUCGAACGCGAAAGCUCCCUUCGGGGAGCAAGUAGAGUGGCGCACGGGUGAGUAACACGUAGGUAAUCUACCUUCGGAUGGGGAAUAACAGCCGGAAACGGUUGCUAAUACCGCAUAAUGCAGCGGCACCUAAUGGUGACAGUUGUUAAAGCGGGGGAUCGAAAGACCUCGCGUCUGAAGAGGAGCCUGCGGCGGAUUAGCUAGUUGGCAGGGUAAAAGCCUACCAAGGCAACGAUCCGUAGCCGGCCUGAGAGGGCGGUCGGCCACACUGACACUGACAUACGGGUCAGACUCCUACGGGAGGCAGCAGUCGGGAAUUUUGGGCAAUGGGCGAAAGCCUGACCCAGCAACGCCGCGUGAAGGAUGAAAUCCCUCGGGAUGUAAACUUCGCAAGAACGGGAAGAAUAAGUGAGAGUUAACACCUCUCGCGAUGACGGUACUGUUUGUAAGCUCCGGCUAACUCCGUGCCAGCAGCCGCGGUAAUACGGGGGGAGCAAGCGUUGUUCGGAUUUACUGGGCGUAAAGGGCGCGUAGGCGGCCACCGCAAGUCAAUUGUGAAAUCUCCGGGCUUAACUCGGAAAGGUCAACUGAUACUGCGGGGCUAGAGUGCGGAAGGGGCAACUGGAAUUCCCGGUGUAGCGGUGAAAUGCGUAGAUAUCGAGAGGAACACCUGCGGCGAAGGCGGGUUGCUGGGCCGACACUGACGCUGAGGCGCGAAAGCUAGGGGAGCGAACGGGAUUAGAUACCCCGGUAGUCCUAGCCUUAAACGAUGGAUGCUUGGUGUCUGGGGUUUUAUAGUCCCCGGGUGCCGUCGCUAACGCUUUAAGCAUCCCGCCUGGGGAGUACGGUCGCAAGACUGAAACUCAAAGGAAUUGACGGGGACCCGCACAAGCGGUGGAGCAUGUGGUU